UACGAAGGGGGCUAGCGUUGCUCGGAAUCACUGGGCGUAAAGGGUGCGUAGGCGGGUCUUUAAGUCAGGGGUGAAAUCCUGGAGCUCAACUCCAGAACUGCCUUUGAUACUGAGGAUCUUGAGUCCGGGAGAGGUGAGUGGAACUGCGAGUGUAGAGGUGAAAUUCGUAGAUAUUAGGAAGAACACCAGUGGCGAAGGCGGCUCACUGGUCCGGUACUGACGCUGAGGUGCGAAAGCGUGGGGAGCAAACAGG
This 253-nucleotide ribosomal RNA is filed under the name uncultured bacterium. Its description in RNAcentral is "partial 16S ribosomal RNA". It matches the Rfam family "Bacterial small subunit ribosomal RNA", at positions 524 to 776 of the family's 1533-position model. The record is from RNAcentral.